CCAGGCUGAAGCAGGAAUGCCAACUGCCAGCUGCUCAUUUCUUCAUCUCAUUGGCUGGACUUUUUCUUUCGGAUGGAAAGCCACUGACCGGGUGGAAUUUCCCCUGUAAAGCUGCGGGGCCUUCAAUCUCUCUGCUGUCUGACACAACGGGAGAGUUGCUGUGGCCUCGUGUCUGUGCCUGUGCCUCCUCCAGUGUGAGCAGCUUUGUGGAAGGAGAAGACACCCACAGGGACUUGCGCCGUGAUAAAGAACUGUGUC
This 258-nucleotide long non-coding RNA is filed under the name Gallus gallus (chicken). Lineage: Eukaryota; Metazoa; Chordata; Aves; Galliformes; Phasianidae. The record is from RNAcentral.